UACGAAGGGUGCGAGCGUUGUUCGGAAUUACUGGGCGUAAAGGGCGCGCAGGCGGCCUUAGAAGUCAGAUGUGAAAGCCCCGGGCUCAACCUGGGAAUGGCAUUUGAUACUCUGAGGCUGGAGUACGGGAGAGGAGAGUGGAAUUCCCAGUGUAGAGGUGAAAUUCGUAGAUAUUGGGAAGAACACCGGUGGCGAAGGCGGCUCUCUGGACCGUAACUGACGCUGAGGCGCGAAAGCGUGGGGAGCAAACAGG
RNAcentral lists this ribosomal RNA (253 nucleotides) under uncultured bacterium. Its description in RNAcentral is "partial 16S ribosomal RNA". It matches the Rfam family "Bacterial small subunit ribosomal RNA", at positions 524 to 776 of the family's 1533-position model. The record is from RNAcentral.